CGGCNGNGNGGNNGCUACCAUGCAGUCGAGCGAUGAUCCGGUGCUUGCACCGGGGAUUAGUGGCGAACGGGUGAGUAACACGUGAGUAACCUGCCCUUGACUCUGGGAUAAGCCUGGGAAACCGGGUCUAAUACCGGAUACGACCUUUCACCGCACGGGGGUUGGUGGAAAGAUUUUUUGGUUUUGGAUGGACUCGCGGCCUAUCAGCUUGUUGGUGAGGUAAUGGCUCACCAAGGCGACGACGGGUAGCCGGCCUGAGAGGGUGACCGGCCACACUGGGACUGAGACACGGCCCAGACUCCUACGGGAGGCAGCAGUGGGGAAUAUUGCACAAUGGGCGAAAGCCUGAUGCAGCGACACCGCGUGAGGGAUGACGGCCUUCGGGUUGUAAACCUCUUUCAGCAUGGAAGAAGCGAAAGUGACGGUACCUGCAGAAGAAGCGCCGGCUAACUACGUGCCAGCAGCCGCGGUAAUACGUAGGGCGCAAGCGUUGUCCGGAAUUAUUGGGCGUAAAGAGCUCGUAGGCGGUUUGUCGCGUCUGCUGUGAAAGCCCGGGGCUCAACCCCGGGUCUGCAGUGGGUACGGGCAGACUAGAGUGCAAUAGGGGAGACUGGAAUUCCUGGUGUAGCGGUGAAAUGCGCAGAUAUCAUGAGGAACACCGAUGGCGAAGGCAGGUCUCUGGGCUGUAACUGACGCUNAGGAGCGAAAGCAUGGGGAGCGAACAGGAUUAGAUACCCUGGUAGUCCAUGCCGAACACGAUGGGCACUAGGUGUGGGGGACAUUCCACGUUUUCCGCGCCGUAUCUACGCAUUAUGUGCCCCGCCUGGGGAGUACGGCCGCAAUAGCUAAUACUCACAGGAAUUGACGGGGGCACCGACACGAGCGUGCAGGAGCAUGCGCAUUAAUCUCGAUGCAACGCGGAGAAACCUGUAGCUAUGACUUCGACAUGGACCGGACCAGCCNCACAAAUGCGGUUAUCCUCUUUCGGANCUGGCUUUACNNGUAGGUGCUAUCGCCUUGUCGGUCAGCUCGUGUCANGAGAUGCUGNNANUUCCAGCACGANUCGCAACCCUUCGGUUCUAUGNUGCCAGCACGUUAUGGACGCGUA
Molecule: ribosomal RNA, 1108 nt
Filed under: uncultured Arthrobacter sp.
Lineage: Bacteria; Bacillati; Actinomycetota; Actinomycetes; Micrococcales; Micrococcaceae
Description: bacterial SSU rRNA
Rfam family: Bacterial small subunit ribosomal RNA
Source: RNAcentral